CGUGAGAUCAUGACCUGAGCCAAAAUCAAGAGUCUGAUGCUUAACAGACUGAGUCACCCAGGUGCCCCUUGUUUGUUUCUGUUUUUGUUGUUUUGUUAAAAAGUGUGGUAGUCAGAACACUGCUUCUCCCAGGCCCUCAUCCCUGGAACCUGGGAAUGUGUUACCGUACGUGGCAAAGGAGACCAGAUGUGAUUAAGUUCAGGGUAUGCAUGUGGGAGAUUAUCCAGAUUGGUUCAGUGUAAUCACGAGGCUUGUUCUUAGGAAAAAAUAGUCAGGAGAGUCAAAGAAGGAGGUGCGAUGACAGAGCAGAGGUUGGUAGUGAGAUUGCAGGCUGUGAAAUGGAAGAGGGCCACAAAGCCAAGGGAAGAGGGGGGGGGGGGGUGCUCUAGGAACUAGAAGACGCAUGGAACAGAUUCACUUCUAGAGCUUCCAGAAGGAACUCAGCCUUGCUGAUAUUUCGACGUUAGUCUACUUGAGAUUUGCAGCCUUGUGGAACUUGGAUGUUAGUCUACUUGAGAUUUAUUACCUUACAGUCCAGGGGUCAGAAAUUUGUAUUGUUUAAGCCACUAAGUUUGUGGUAAUUUGUCACAGAAGCGACAAGAAACAAAUACAUCAGCUUUAUCGAGAUAGAAUUUAUAUACCACACACCUGACUCUUCUAAAGUAUACAGUAAAUGGUUUUAGUAUAUUUACAGACUUAUGUAACUCUAAAACUUCCGAAAAAUGGAACAAAAACAUGAAGUGAAAAAUAAAUGAUCUUUGGAUCACAUGGUGCUCUCCUCACCGUUGUUGUUUGAAUGAAGAACACAGACUGUGUUCAGGGAGGUUUGGGGACAGUACUGGUACAUGGUCACAGGAACAGGAGCCUCUAGAACAGGUAAAUAUUUGCUUUUCCUUAUCUUAGUAGGGUAACUUUUUCUGGUAACUCUUUACACGUUUCCCUCGAUGGCGUGUAAGGUACUAUUUUCUGGCAUUUAAGUCCGUUUUCUUGAUGUUAGCUUAUCAAACUUACAAAUCAUAGAUUUCUAACCUGCUGCUAAGACCCCACGCGCUAUUCUAUACAACGAAUACAAAUUUCUUGAACUGACUAAGAAACAGACCUUGUCUUGUAUAUUUUCAGUAACUUUAUAAACCUCUACUUCAAGGAAUGUGUUGCAUGUAGAAAUACUUUCGAAUACCUGCUAAUUGGGGGUGGUGGUCGGGUUAUUCGGUUCCCAACAUUGAGUUGUUCCGAGGGGCGCCUUCUGCACGUGUGUCCUUAGGAUCCUGCAGAAUAAGGUAGCCAUUUUCUGGCCCAAUUUUAAGGUAGAUUUUUUAAAGCUGGUAUAUUACAGACCUUCCAAAUUAUCUGUAUGCCAGUCAUCUCAGAUUCUCCCUCUCCUUGAAACAGAUUCGGGUUCAGAUCCCAGGUGUGGUGAUGGCCCGCCAUGGCAUUUUUCUGUUUGCUGACCCAGAAGAAGGAGAGACUUUGAAUCUGCCGGAUCAUUUGUUGACUCAUUUACCUUUGCCAGGAAGCUCCUUUUUGUUAAUUAAAAUAAAAUCUGUUUGCAUUUCAGCAUAUCUUUUUUUCCUCCCAGUAACAGUAGCGAUUUGGUCCUCAAUUUGUAGUUAAAACAAAAUACAGGUGCAUAGCUUUAAGAAAGAAAAAAAGACAAAACAACAGAAGCACAGCCCCUGACGUCUGGAGCUGGCGGGUCCUCACGGGUAGGCCGUGGCACUCUCCUGUUGGACAUAAGGAGUCUCAAGAACACCCACGUCAGACAAGGUCACUGUUAGACCAUGAGAGAACGCGACACAGCAAGACCCCGUUUUAAAUUUGUCUAAGCACAGACAAGAACGAGGGCACCGUGCAAACCCACAGACGCUGAGUCUUGGCUAAAAUGAACGACUGUCACUUCUUUGCCCAUUACACCUUUAUCUUCCAUUUAGUCUGCCCUGCAGAUAUUUAUGUUUGUGGAGACACUCAAUCCUCACGUUGCCUUCGCUGAGUUCACAGCAUCCAAUCCAGUGAACUCAGGCCCUCAGAUCCUCUUCCGAAUCCCCCGACCCAAGCUCGCAUCUGCUCUCGGUGCCCUCAGACACCCUUACUGAUACCCCACGGCUCCCCCUGGUGUGCACUCUCCCUCACUGCAGUGAGUAACGAACCUGAGCCGCCCCACUGUACGUGUGUUCCUGGUGCUCUUUGGCUGAAGACGCUGACAGCGUAAAGAUAAAAACCAUGAUACGAAGCGAUGUAAAAAUUGUUUGACUCACUGGGAAGAACCCACAGAAGUUAUUGGAAAGCAUAAAUGUUGUUCCUUACUGUGUGUGUGUUUGUAUAUGUUCUCUGUCUUGUUUAAUAUAUCACGAAUUAUAAGCCGGACUGACUGCAUAAUUUAUGAGGCUAAAUGAAAAUGUGGGGCCCUUUGCUUGAUAGUCAUUAAAAAUUUUGAGACAGUGAGGGGCACCUGGGUGGCUCAGUCUGUGAAGCAUCUGACUUUGCUGCAGGUCACGGUCUCACGGUUCCGUUCGGGAGUUUGAGUCCCCCACGGGGCAGGCUCAGGCCCUGCUUCAGGCAAGCUUGAGCCCCGUUGUGGGUGAACCCUGCUCCUGUCUCUCCCUCUCCCUCUCUGUCUGUCCCUCAUGGGAUUCUCUUUCUCCUCCCUGCUCCUUGCUCACUCGUGCUCUCUCUCUCUCUC
Molecule: long non-coding RNA, 2677 nt
Organism: Herpailurus yagouaroundi (jaguarundi)
Lineage: Eukaryota; Metazoa; Chordata; Mammalia; Carnivora; Felidae
Exons: 2
Source: RefSeq, a predicted model, not a curated record